Molecule: non-coding RNA, 268 nt
Organism: Chiloscyllium plagiosum (whitespotted bambooshark)
Lineage: Eukaryota; Metazoa; Chordata; Chondrichthyes; Orectolobiformes; Hemiscylliidae
Source: RefSeq, a predicted model, not a curated record
UCUCAAAUUUUGACAAAUCGAAAAAGGUCUCCAUUAGGCAGUCCAAAUUUCUGGUGUAGCUGUUCAAAAGACAUCAUAACCUCCCCAUCGAACAGAUCCCCUCAGCAAGAAGUAUCCCUGGACUUCCAGGUUUUAAAUGUAGCCUCUGUGUGCCCCGGUUGAAAAUCGUAUGCUCCCACUAUAGGAGUAUAAGGAGAGGUUUUUUGUGAAUUACCAUCGUCUUGCUGCAUUAUCUUCCAAGCUUUAAUUGUAUUUAAUACCAAUAGGG